Bos taurus (domestic cattle) is the source of this 57-nucleotide non-coding RNA. The record is from Rfam. Lineage: Eukaryota; Metazoa; Chordata; Mammalia; Artiodactyla; Bovidae.
UGGCUCAGACGGUAAAGCGUCUGUCUACAAUGCAGGAGACCCAGGUUCGAUCCCUGG